This 241-nucleotide non-coding RNA is filed under the name Cryptosporidium parvum. The record is from RNAcentral. Lineage: Eukaryota; Apicomplexa; Conoidasida; Eucoccidiorida; Cryptosporidiidae.
CAGAUACAUCAACUUCUGACUUUUCACGGGAACGUGAUCUAUCCCUCUCUUCAACUGGUUCUCUAUUAUCUUCAUUCCUUCCUUCAUUGUUACGUUGUUCAUCAUCAGAUACUCCUCUUUCUCUUGAAGGGGAUUUAGACUCGUCAAUCUUUCUGUCCCCUUCUCUAUUUUCGUCUCCACCAUCAUUGUAAUCUAUAUAUACUUUCUUUGUCGAGUUAUCACCACCAAUCCCAUCAUCGCC